GAUGAAGAACGUAGCAAAAUGCGAUAAGUAGUGUGAAUUGCAGAAUUCAGUGAAUCAUCGAAUCUUUGAACGCACAUUGCGCCCCUUGGUAUUCCAUGGGGCAUGCCUGUUCGAGCGUCAUUGACACCCUCAAGCUCUGCUUGGUGUUGGGCCGUUGUCGUUUCCUCGCCCCCCCCGGGCGACACAGCGACACCCCUCAAAGUCAUUGGCGGCUUUCCUGCCCAGCCUUCCCGCGCAGCAGUUCGCGCUUCGGAGACCACUUGGCAGGUUGGCAUCCAUCAAGCUGACCCCUCACGCUUGACCUCGGAUCAGGUAGGGACUACCCGCUGAACUUAAGCAUAUCAAUAAGCGGAGGA
This 356-nucleotide unclassified non-coding RNA is filed under the name soil metagenome. RNAcentral's name for it is "partial contains 5.8S ribosomal RNA, internal transcribed spacer 2, and large subunit ribosomal RNA". The stretch from base 1 to 120 matches the Rfam family "5.8S ribosomal RNA", at positions 35 to 154 of the family's 154-position model. The record is from RNAcentral.